AAAAAAAACAUAACAUAACAAAAAACCAUCACGUUGUUUUAAAUCUCAAAUUAAACCUAGUCUAAAGGACUAUAGGUAAGAUACCAUCAUCAUGGUAACCUAAUAUUUUUUGUUGCAUUAAAACAUCAAGUCCUCACUGUUAUUUACAUUUAUUCCCUCCAGCAUUACAGCACAGAAGCGAGCCUGCAAUACAGCUACAUGUGUGACCCAUCGCUUGGCAGAUUUCCUGAACCGCUCAGGAGGAAUUGGAAGCAGCAAGUUUGUCCCAACCAACGUUGGAUCACAUGCGUUUGGUCGGCGAAGGAGAUUGAGUCAAGAGUAGACAUAAAUGUCUUAGCAAUAUGGUUGCCAGGCUAUACAUUUAUAGCUCUCUGCCGUGCCAUGAUCAAGAGAGAAAAGAAAAAAAAAAUCAACAUGUGCAUCAAGAUCCCCGGGAAUGGACAUCAUUUCACUCAUCAUCUGAAUGGAUUCCUGUUGACCGCAUUGAUCUGUAAAAUGCAAAAGCCCAUUCUCAAACUGUUAUUGUUUGGCUCUCUAUUAAAAAAGAAAGAAAUGGUUAAAAAAGCAAGAAAACAUUAACAUCCAUUUAAAAGUGGUCAUGCUCAUUUUUCAAUCCCAUAAAAAUUGAGCGAGAGUGACGAGAGUGAUGAGAAUGAUUGUACAUUCUUUACUGUUAACAGAGAGCACAUCGUGUGUACAGUAUGCUGUGGCCCAUGUUCCUCUGCUGCACGUCGCAGUUUUGUGGGGAUGAAAUUAAAGCAGUGCCUUGAAAAAGGCUUCCCUGACUUAUGGACGUGUCUCGUGCCUUGAUGUAAAUCCACUUUACAUACCGCUGUUGUACAGAAUGUCUGAUGCAGAAAAAGAGAGUUGCAAUCAAUGAUAAUGAUAAAGUUGUAACAGUUGUGAACCUGAGCAAGAAUAAAAUGUAUUUUAGAUACA
Clarias gariepinus (North African catfish) is the source of this 939-nucleotide long non-coding RNA. RefSeq lists it as uncharacterized. The record is from RefSeq and is a predicted model, not a curated record. NCBI's taxonomy places the organism in Eukaryota, Metazoa, Chordata, Actinopteri, Siluriformes, Clariidae. The transcript has 2 exons.